Molecule: long non-coding RNA, 1477 nt
Organism: Sinocyclocheilus rhinocerous
Lineage: Eukaryota; Metazoa; Chordata; Actinopteri; Cypriniformes; Cyprinidae
Exons: 3
Source: RefSeq, a predicted model, not a curated record
AAUAACUUUUUCAAUUAGAAUAUUGUAACAUCCAAUGACGUAUCUACUUUUAUGUUAACUGCAUUGUGUUUUGUGGUAUGGUUUUUGUUGUUGUUUCUCUCUGUGUCUCCUGCUCCUCUGGCUCCUCCCACUCUUUCCACUCUGGCAGGUAGCUGACUGCCCUUUCCAGCUGCACCUGCUUACCAGCUGAGAGAGUAGCAGUUUAGAAGAGAAUUUCUCUCCAGCGCAUGUCCUGUGUCCAGCCCUGCCCAGCUCAGUUUGUUGAAAGCCUUUUAGACUUUGUGCACUGUGUUUACUGCAGGAUACUCAGCCUACAGCUGUGUUACCAAACUGCUUAAGCAGUUACUCUCCCGAUUGAUUGUUUGUUACCCUGUAGAGAGGAUGUAACAGAGGUUCACAGUUUUGAGGAUGUUUUCCAGCUGCUGGUCAGUGAUGCCUUUCUCCUGCAUCUCCUGAACAGAGUGAGGAUAGAUGACCUGAUCUCUCAGCGUUCCCACCGACAUAUAAGUCCUGAUAUACAGAGACGUCCAGUGAACUGCAAGUGGGCCAAAUGACAAGCAGCUGCUGGUCUGAAAUGAUGUUGGACACAUCCCGUUGUGUGAUCAUGCGCACGAAGCGAUGCUGUACUCCUGUUGGGUUUGUAAUGAAGCCGCCAUGUAACGCAGUCACAGGAGCACCAUAUGUGCUGACUGCUUUUUGAUUGUGCUCCUCUUUUUAAUCAGCACACUCAUCAGCGCUAAUUAACCUGGCACGGAGGGGAAAUGGAAAUAAACACAUGCACGCAAACCCACUUUUCUGCCUUCUAAUUGAUCUUAAUUCUCAAACAAAAUCAGGCAGACCGCAUCUCAGUACUGGGUCCUGAACCUGCACAAAGAGAAAUCAACAGCCUUCUACAAUCAUAGUAGUCCUAUUUGUACACUACUGGCAUGCUCAUAAUAUUCUGUAUGCAAGAUUAAUAUUAGCUCAUCUCAAAUCAUAGUACAAUGACAAAAACUCAUCAAAGUUGCCUGGAUGACAUAUUGGUUUUCAAAUUGUGUGGUCAUGCAUUUUUUAAAAUCUUUUUGUUUGUUUGGUUUUGUUUUGUUUUAUUUUUUGCAAAAAAACGCAAGGAUGAAGCUGCUUUGUUGCUUUUAUAAAGCCAAAAAUGACUAAAUUUAGCCAAAUGCUAACUCUCACAUGACAAAGAGAUCUGUGGUAUCAACACAAAAUUUUAUGACAUCUGUAGUGUCUCCCAAUUCUGACAUACUCUUUUACAGCUAAAGCUGAGUAACAUAGUGUAACAAGGAAAAAUAUAUUAAUAUCUCAAUUUUCUGUCUUUUUAUUUUUAUUUUUAAUGUAUUUGCACCAAAAUGGCUAUUGUUUUCAAAUUACUAGAUUUUAACAUUUGGUCCCUAUUUAUGGCAAUGAUGACAUUUGGCUCCCUUUAUUCUGAUUUACAGAAUUAUUUAAUUACUGAAUUAUUGAAUAUGAUCAAAUU